Molecule: long non-coding RNA, 588 nt
Organism: Coffea arabica (coffee)
Lineage: Eukaryota; Viridiplantae; Streptophyta; Magnoliopsida; Gentianales; Rubiaceae
Source: RefSeq, a predicted model, not a curated record
GAAGAAUUAGGGUUUCAAGCAGCACCUAUAAAUAAAUACUCGUAGUCCGAACUUAAAAUAAAAAGAGGGUCCCCGUUCCCUACCCCUUUUCACGGCUAUGAAAUCAACUGGCUCGAUCCUCAUAUCCUAUUAGGGUCGGUAAUUUUGACUGAUCUGGAGAAUUGGGCGGAGGCCGCUACAUUUUCUGAGGCAACAACAUGAGGGCAAAGUGGAAGAAGAAGCGCAUGAGGAGGCUCAAGAGGAAGCGCCGAAAGAUGAGACAAAGAUCCAAGUAGAAGCUGGAUACCACAUGGUUUCUUCAUAUUUGAACCUGCAUCUUUUUCAUGACCUGCUUUUGGCUCCUGAUGUCAAGCAGCUCUUAUGUGUGGAUGAAAGUUUUAGCUGGGGAAACUACCAUCUUAUAUGUCUACUGUUCUGCAAGACUCUUUAAAAAAUUUACUUAGUUGUUUUAGUAACUUUUGUGUCUAUUCCAGUGUAAGCGGCAUGUUGUGUCUAAAAACCUAUUUUUCCCUAAUUUGAAACUGGAACUAGUGUUUUGACAUGGAAGGUAUUAGUUUAUAAAAUAUGUAUUGGUUGACCAUCCAGGCG